Long non-coding RNA from Hibiscus syriacus, 311 nucleotides. RefSeq lists it as uncharacterized. The record is from RefSeq and is a predicted model, not a curated record. The transcript is spliced from 3 exons. Lineage: Eukaryota; Viridiplantae; Streptophyta; Magnoliopsida; Malvales; Malvaceae.
CAUAGUAAGGCCCAUCAAAAUACCUUUAUUGAAUGGCAGUAAGUAGUACAUUGCUUUCAAUGAUGAUUUCACAAGAUUUUGUUGGAUUUAUUUCAUGAAGUUUAAAUAUGAAGUUGCUGACAUUUUUUGGAAGUUUAAAGCUUAUGUGGAAACUCAAAGUGGUUGCAAGAUGCAGGUGAUCAGGUUUGAUAAUGGAACUGAAUAUACUUCUGAAAAGUUUAACAAAUUUUGUCAAGAUGCAGGCAUCGAGCAUCACAAACACGUUAGUUUAUCUACUCAACAGACUUCCAACCAAAGUUUUGCAAAAAGGA